CCGGCUCCAUGGAUUGACCUUUUCCAUGUUUUCCUUCUCCGUGCAAACUGUCAAGGUUGUAAUUUCGUCACCAUGCAUGACAUGUUUAUCUAUAUCGUGUAAUAGUUCAACCACAAAGCAGAACUCCACAGUACAACGCCAUGAAUGAUAUUAUCAUGGAGGAGGUCCUUCCUCCAUGAUAUUAAGGCAGCUUCUGAGAGGGGACUGCGCCCGUUGCAACCCACCAGUGACCCGGAACGUGAUCAGGUGAUUUUGCCAAAUUAACGCAGAGUCACCAUGGGCCAAACUGUCUCCGGACUCAUCCAGCCAUGGAUCCAACCUUGGGCAGAGUAUUUCUUCGACUGGAAACUUCAACGCUACAUUUCCAAGUUGAAGCCGGAAGAUCUUAGAUUAUGGGAAGUGUACGAUUUCGAGGGCAUACCUCUCAGGCCGGAUGUUCUCCCGAGCACGAUGGAUGAGCUGAAGACACUGGAGAUCCGACAGGAUGACGUGUUCAUUGUCACCUAUACCAAAGCAGCUGAUCACUACAUUUCAAAGAGGAUCUCCGAGCAUGGGAAGUGUACGAUUACGAGGGCGUGGUUCUCAGGCUGGAUAUCCGCCCGAGCACGAUGGAUGAGCUAAAGACACUGGAGAUCCGACAGGAUGACGUGUUCAUCGUCACCUAUGCCAAAGCAGGCACAACACAGGAGAAAAUGUCCUGUGUACUUCAUGAUAGAAACUUGGAGAUGAUCAACAAAAGACAUACAAUGAAAAGGGUCACUUUCUUGGAAAUGAACAUGGGAGGCACGGU
This 790-nucleotide unclassified non-coding RNA is filed under the name Acanthaster planci (crown-of-thorns starfish). RNAcentral describes it as "uncharacterized LOC110979732, transcript variant X2". The record is from RNAcentral. Lineage: Eukaryota; Metazoa; Echinodermata; Asteroidea; Valvatida; Acanthasteridae.